RNAcentral lists this ribosomal RNA (226 nucleotides) under Klebsiella pneumoniae subsp. pneumoniae KPNIH18. RNAcentral describes it as "partial 23S ribosomal RNA". It matches the Rfam family "Bacterial large subunit ribosomal RNA", at positions 2708 to 2925 of the family's 2925-position model. The record is from RNAcentral. Lineage: Bacteria; Pseudomonadati; Pseudomonadota; Gammaproteobacteria; Enterobacterales; Enterobacteriaceae.
ACUGGUGUUCGGGUUGUCAUGCCAAUGGCACUGCCCCGGUAGCUAAAUGCGGAAGAGAUAAGUGCUGAAAGCAUCUAAGCACGAAACUUGCCCCGAGAUGAGUUCUCCCUGAGACUUUAAGUCUCCUGAAGGAACGUUGAAGACGACGACGUUGAUAGGCCGGGUGUGUAAGCGCAGCGAUGCGUUGAGCUAACCGGUACUAAUGAACCGUGAGGCUUAACCUUAC